CUUGGUCAUUUAGAGGAAGUAAAAGUCGUAACAAGGUCUCCGUAGGUGAACCUGUAAGUUUAUCAAUGCUCCAGAAAUGAUUAUCUUCACUACUAACAAUAUUCAGGCGGAGAGAUCAUUACAGAGAAAGGGCCUUCGGGUCCGACCUCCAACCCCAUGUUUUCUGUCCUUGUUGCUUCGGGGGACGAAGCCGCCUCGCGCGGUGGACGCCCCCGGAGAACCACUAAACUCUGCAUCAUUUGCGUCUGAGUAUUAUUUUGAAUAAAUCAAAACUUUCAACAACGGAUCUCUUGGUUCUGGCAUCGAUGAAGAACGCAGCGAAAUGCGAUAAGUAAUGUGAAUUGCAGAAUUCAGUGAAUCAUCGAAUCUUUGAACGCACAUUGCGCCCUUUGGUAUUCCUUAGGGCACACCUGUUCGAGCGUCAUUACACCACUCAAGCCUAGCUUGGUAUUGGGCGCCGCGGCUUCGUCGCGCGCCUCAAAGACGUCGGCCGAGUCUUCAAGUCUCUUAGCGUUGUGCAAACUCUCGCUGGUGAGGAUUGAUGGCCCGCGCCGUAAAACCUUUCUUUUCAAGGUUGACCUCGGAUCAGGUGGGGAUACCCGCUGAACUUAAGCAUAUCAAUAAGCGGAGGA
Molecule: ribosomal RNA, 632 nt
Filed under: uncultured Capnodiales
Lineage: Eukaryota; Fungi; Ascomycota; Dothideomycetes; Capnodiales
Description: eukaryotic LSU rRNA
Rfam family: 5.8S ribosomal RNA (bases 271-424)
Source: RNAcentral